GACGAACGCUGGCGGCGUGCUUAACACAUGCAAGUCGAACGGAAAGGCCCCUUCGGGGGUACUCGAGUGGCGCACGGGUGAGUAACACGUGAGUAACCUGCCCUUGACUUCGGGAUAACUUCAGGAAACUGGGGCUAAUACCGGAUAGGAAUCCUUGCUGCAUGGUGGGGGUUGGAAAGCUUCGGCGGUUUUGGAUGGACUCGCGGCUUAUCAGCUUGUUGGUGGGGUAGUGGCUUACCAAGGCCUUGACGGGUAGCCGGCCUGAGAGGGCGACCGGCCACAUUGGGACUGAGAUACGGCCCAGACUCCUACGGGAGGCAGCAGUGGGGAAUAUUGCACAAUGGGCGGAAGCCUGAUGCAGCAACGCCGCGUGCGGGAUGACGGCCUUCGGGUUGUAAACCGCUUUCAGCAGGGGCGAAGCUUGUGGUGACGGUACCUGCAGAAGAAGCACCGGCUAACUACGUG
This 465-nucleotide ribosomal RNA is filed under the name uncultured bacterium. Its description in RNAcentral is "partial 16S ribosomal RNA". It matches the Rfam family "Bacterial small subunit ribosomal RNA", at positions 28 to 507 of the family's 1533-position model. The record is from RNAcentral.